This 369-nucleotide ribosomal RNA is filed under the name Wolbachia endosymbiont of Armigeres subalbatus. Its description in RNAcentral is "bacterial SSU rRNA". It matches the Rfam family "Bacterial small subunit ribosomal RNA", at positions 1043 to 1411 of the family's 1533-position model. The record is from RNAcentral. RNAcentral also lists the same sequence under 1 other name. Lineage: Bacteria; Pseudomonadati; Pseudomonadota; Alphaproteobacteria; Rickettsiales; Anaplasmataceae.
GCAUGGCUGUCGUCAGCUCGUGUCGUGAGAUGUUGGGUUAAGUCCCGCAACGAGCGCAACCCUCAUCCUUAGUUGCCAUCAGGUAAUGCUGAGUACUUUAAGGAAACUGCCAGUGAUAAGCUGGAGGAAGGUGGGGAUGAUGUCAAGUCAUCAUGGCCUUUAUGGAGUGGGCUACACACGUGCUACAAUGGUGUCUACAAUGGGCUGCAAGGUGCGCAAGCCUAAGCUAAUCCCUAAAAGACAUCUCAGUUCGGAUUGUACUCUGCAACUCGAGUACAUGAAGUUGGAAUCGCUAGUAAUCGUGGAUCAGCAUGCCACGGUGAAUACGUUCUCGGGUCUUGUACACACUGCCCGUCACGCCAUGGGAAU